UUCUUAAUUUUCUAUGUCAGGCUACAGAUAUAGGAUCUUAAUUUGAGCCAGUUUGCUACAGCAGGACAAUAAUCCUGCAGCAACAGGAAAUGUGAAUUAUCAUGUGGAUUUUAAUUAAUGAACAUUUCUGUAGGGGUUGAUACAUUUUUCUUAAGGGAAAAUCAAGUCUGAAGUUUCAAAGUGGAAAUUACAAACUUCAGAAGCCUUUUUAAGCCUCAAAUACACUACAAGGAAAGUUCUCCUGCAACAGGGUGAUCAAAUUAAGAUCCUACAUAUGUAUGAAAGUUAUGUACUAUAGUGGUAUAAAUAAGGCAAAGAUGCAUUUAAUUCAUGCUUAGAGACUUAGGCUUGAGAAAGUCUUAGACUACAAGUGUUUCUAAAUGCAUGUGAUUUGGGACAGUAAGAAUUCAUCUCUUUCUCUCUGUCCAUAUUCUGUAUUGUGUUGCCCCUUUAAUUCUUAUUUUCUUUUGAAGCCGUCUCUGUACAAUUACUCUAAAAGAGAAGUUGUGCCAUCAGCGUGCGGCACUGUGAGUUCCCCUCUGUUUACCAAGAGCAACCCAGAAGAGCUCAGUCCUUUGUUGAGCGCCAGUCACUCCCAGCCACACAGCUGUGACACACACGCAAGCAGAACUCUCAACAGGGUCUCCCUCUGGAACACGAGCAGUAACAUGAUCUGCAGAGAAGACCUGAGCCCUGGGACCAUUCCUCAGGACUACCUGACCUAAUGACUCCUUGCUGUCCCCAGUCCACCUGGACGUGCUGCUGCUCCAGUUUCAUCUGUUCUGCCUGUGGCUAUGGAACCCUGACCUGUUAACUGGACGUACUACCUUGUCCCGGACCUGCUGUUUUCGACUCUCUCUCUCUACCGCACCUGCUGUCUCUAACUCAAUGCUCGGCUAUGAAAAUCCAACUGACAUUUACUCCUGAGGUGCUGACCUGUUGCACCCUCUACAACCACUGUGAUUAUUAUUAUUACUUGACACUGCUGAUCAUCUAUGAACGUUUGAAUAUCUUGGCCAUGUACUGUUAUAAUUUCAACCCGGCACAGCCAGAAGAGGACUGGACACCCCUCAGAGCCUGGUUCCUCUCUAGCUUUCUUCCUAGGUUCCUUCCUUUCUAGGUAGUUUUUCCUAGCUACCGUGAUUCUACAUCUGCAUUGCUUGCUGUUUGGGGUUUUAGGCUAGGUUUCUGUAUAGCACUUUGUGACAUUGGCUGAUGUAAAAUGGGCUUUAUAAAUACAUUUGAUUGAUUGAUUCUUACACUGUAAUGGAAAACUGUAAAUUAUACAGUAUUUUCUAUUAUUAUCAACAGUAAAAUACUCAAUCAGAUAAAAUAACAUUAUAUUGGUUGCAUAUACAUUUAGCAGAUGUUAUUGCGGUUGUAGCGAAAUACUCUGAAAUGUUUUACUGCAGCAAACUGUAAAUUAUGGUGCGUUGUGGGAAAAUGUUGGGGGCGGGGAAAGAAUUGGGAAAGAAUUGCUUUAAGAAUUGCUUUCAAAUGGUACUUUAACUCUACCCCACAGAACACAGUACCAUACCAUAUUUUUGGAGAGCCAACAACUUUUUGACCACUAGUUGGUGCAUGGUAUUGUUUCUGAAGCAUUAACAUAUUUUGAGGCGUGCCGUGUAAGGGGCUAUAUUUGUUGCACCCAUGAGUGAGAACGCUGUUUAGGGGACAUUUUGGAGUGACAGCAAGUCUUAAACCUUAAAUGGUUGAGCAUUUUUACCAUGUCCUUUUGGUCUGUUUUACUCUGUAGUCACUGCCAGUUUGGAAGCCUUUGUGAAGGCCCCUAGAAGUGCAAUUGAUAUAAAAUACCUAAUGUUCAUUAAUAUGCUGUAUUGUUUGUAAACAAUUUACCUAGCAGCCAACCUGCU
Molecule: long non-coding RNA, 1874 nt
Filed under: Salmo salar (Atlantic salmon)
Lineage: Eukaryota; Metazoa; Chordata; Actinopteri; Salmoniformes; Salmonidae
Description: lncRNA (ENSSSAG00000088374.1)
Source: RNAcentral